Chroicocephalus ridibundus (black-headed gull) is the source of this 2911-nucleotide RNA transcript. It is a transcript of the gene named myogenic factor 6, with no coding region annotated. The record is from RefSeq and is a predicted model, not a curated record. Lineage: Eukaryota; Metazoa; Chordata; Aves; Charadriiformes; Laridae. The transcript is spliced from 5 exons.
CUCAGGACAGCGCCCAGGAGACUGGCUGGAAUCAGUUUUGGAGGGUGAUGCACCGCGACAGCUAAAAGUUGGAUAGGGUUUCAGCAGCUCCUAUAUAAAGCAGGGGGGACUUAUGUCACCGCACUAAUUAAAUUCCAUCUGGGUUGUUCCUCGGGGUGUUUUUGAGCCUGCCACCCAACUCAAGCAGGCAGAGAGGCCGAGGGAGAGCAUGAUGAUGGACCUUUUUGAAACUGGCUCCUAUUUCUUCUACUUGGACGGGGAGAAUGGAGCUCUGCAGCAGCUGGAGAUGGCCGAGGGAUCCCCGCUGUAUCCAGGGAGCGAUGGCACUUUGUCCCCCUGUCAGGACCAAAUGCCGCCAGAGGCUGGCAGUGACAGCAGUGGAGAGGAGCAUGUGCUGGCACCCCCGGGACUACAACCCCCUCACUGCCCCGGACAGUGUUUGAUCUGGGCUUGUAAAACUUGCAAGAGAAAGUCGGCCCCCACGGACAGACGGAAAGCAGCCACCCUGCGGGAGAGGAGGAGACUGAAGAAGAUCAACGAAGCCUUCGAGGCUCUGAAAAGGCGGACUGUGGCGAACCCUAACCAGAGGCUGCCCAAGGUGGAGAUCCUGAGGAGCGCCAUCAGCUACAUCGAGAGGCUGCAGGACCUCUUGCACAGGCUGGAUCAGCAGGACAAAAUGCAGGAGAUCGGGGGAGACCCCUUCAGCUUCAGCCCCAAGCAGGGAAAUGUCCCCAGCUCGGACUUCCUCAGCACCUGCAGCUCCGACUGGCAAAGCGUUUCUGACCAUUCCCGAGCCCUGGGAGUCAGCCCCAAGGAAGGAAGCUCCAUCGUCGAGUCGUCGGCCUCCAGCAGCCUUCGAUGCCUCUCCUCCAUAGUGGACAGUAUUUCUUCCGAGGAGCCCAAACUGCCCAGCGCGGAGGAAGUGGUGGAGAAAUAAAUCCGGUUGCUCUGAUACUUACCUGUGUACCGGUGACCCACUUUGUCUGAGACUCACCGGCAAGUUCAUUCCUGUCUGAGUGAAGCUGUUGGUUGCAUUUCGUGUUAGUCGUAUUUAAAGAGUUCCCGCCUCGUUUCGUUCUUUGUUCUCCCACACACACCCUCGUAAUUAAAUAAUAACCCGAUCCCGGAGUUAAAACUGACUUCAGCGACAUCAAGCCCUGAGGAGUAAGACACGUCGCCGAGCCACGACCCGUGUGACCGGGAGGCAGCACUCAGGACACAUUUUUUCCCUUCGUUUUCUCCUCUGAGGAGCGUCUCUCCUUAAUUCGCAGUGUUAAUUACCCGCCUCCCCGGCCCGGGACGCGUGGGUGCCGGGGUAGGGCCCCGCAGCCCGUUUCCCCGUCGUGCUUGCGGAAAGCGGUACUGCUCCCCCAAAACGCCUCAAAUGGCAGCGUAGCUCGCCGGGCAGGGAUGAUGCUUCGGCCUCGUCCCGCACAAGGUGGAUGAGUUUAGAAAGGGGAAGCGCCAAAGACACCCCCCCGCCCCGGUCCUGGAGAAGGGGGGAGGCUCAGCAUGUCUCACCUUCCCUCGGCACCGGAGGACUUGAUCCAGGCCCGCUCUGCGGCAAAACUGCUGGGGCCGUUAGCGGCACCGGGGGGACAGCGAGCGGCUCUGGCAGGAACCCGCUCCCGUGGGGCUGUGGGCUGUGGUUUCCUGCCGGGAAAGGUAACUCCCCUUGAGCCUGAGAGAGAAGGGAAUGGGGUCCCUCAGGGAGGAAAGAGUUAAGCGGCCGAAAAGGGGGUGGAGGGGUAAACAACAUAUGAGGCCUUUCACUCCGUGAUGCAAAAAUGCACGGCCUCUCUGAGGAUGGCGGAGCGGAGCCGCUCGCCGUCGGAGCGUUGUGGCUUGUAACGGGCUGUUCGUGCCCUGGGAAGGGGCGAGCACCGGGCAACGCACACGGGGCUCGCCGGGGAGCUGGCACAAGCCGAGGGGCGCUCCUGCAGCGCUGCCCGCGGGCGCUCCCCUCGCCAGCUUUAACCCGUGAUUUAUUUUUUGUUUUCGUUUUUUUGAAAGGUCACAGCCACGUUUCGGGAAGGUGUCCCACUUCUCGGCCGGCUCGGGUACGGACACGGGUACUGGUACGUCCCUCGGGAGGGGCAGAGACCGCCCCGAGAGCUGGCUCCCUUCGCGGUGCCCUCCUCCCUCCCCUUUGGUGCCACCGUCGCCAGCCUGGUUUUUACAACAGUUAAGUACUCGCUCUAAUUGCCCUCUAAUGAGAUACUCCGUUGUGAGGAGUAAAUGCGGCGGCACAGUGCGGUGGGCACGCAGUGUGACACGGCAGUUCCCCCCCCACACACCUUUUUCUCGUUUCAAAUAAACCCCGUUGCCGCGGGGAACCCGGAGGCGCUUCAGAAAGCGGCGCUUGGGGGAUCGCGGGGUCUCGCCUGCAAUCUCUGCACUUCGGCGAAAAAGCGGAGAUAUUACAGUUUCCUUCUGUAGCGGCGGGACUCGAUCAGCAAUAGAGAGUUUCAGACCGGGUUUGCAGCUCGUCGCCUUCCUUCAGAAUUUGUCCCGAUCCCCGCUCGCUGGCUCCGAGAGAAGAGCAACGGGCGGUCCCUACGCCCGAUGCGGCCCCGCAGGAGCCGCCUCCCGCAGCAGGGCAAGAGCGGUGCUGAGGCACCUCCGAAACCGCGCUCUGACACCGACGCCCUGCCAGCCUGCUGCCGGGUCUGCCCUCAGCCCAGCAUUCACCCGGCAGGACCCCCCCGGCAGGCUCUCCUCCAGCAGCAGGGUAACUUGAGCGAUUGUUUGGAAUAAGUUUGCCUAAAGGACGGGUUUUUUUCAUUAAAUAAAGAAAAUACCUCCCGAAGAGACUCUCCGUGACCCCCACGGCUGCGGCUGACAUGCCGGGCUUCCCAGUGAAGGUCCUCAGUGUGUUUGCAAUUAAAAUGUUUGUGUUUGAUAUUAAUAA